This 559-nucleotide long non-coding RNA is filed under the name Homo sapiens (human). Its description in RNAcentral is "non-protein coding LINC01916:3". The record is from RNAcentral. Lineage: Eukaryota; Metazoa; Chordata; Mammalia; Primates; Hominidae.
AUACUUCUUCCAGCUGCCCUGUGAAGAAAGACGUGUUUGCUUUUCCUUCAGCCAUGAUUAGUCCUGUGAUGUUAUGAGAAAAAUGAUUUGAAAAUGAGCUUGAGGUUUCAGCCCUGGAGGCCUGAACAGACGAGCUGGCUGUGGCUAGUCACUCCCCCACCAGCCUUGGCCGUGCACUCAUGCCAUUCAGCAGAUUUGAUGAAGCCAGCUUUCAUGUUACGAGCUACCUCUGUGGAGAAGCCCACAUGUCAAGAGAGUGGAUGACCCUCUUGCCCACAGCCAGUGAGGAAUGGAGGCCCUGAGGCCAAUGGGCUACAAAGAACUAAAUCCUGUCAACAUUCAUAUGCAUGACCUUGGAAUCAGAUCCCACCCCCAUCAAGGCCUGACAUGACUGCAAUCCCAGCUGACAUUUUGAUUGUAGUCAUGUAAGAGUCCCAGAGGACCCAGUUAAGCUAGGCACAGUCUCUUAAUGCGGGGAAAUUGUGAAGUAAUUAGUACUGUUGUUUUGGGAUAAUGUGUUACGUAACAAGAGACAGGUGAUACAACAUCUCUGAGAUUC